AAAUUGAAGAGUUUGAUCAUGGCUCAGAUUGAACGCUGGCGGCAGGCCUAACACAUGCAAGUCGAACGGUAACAGGAAGCAGCUUGCUUCUUUGCUGACGAGUGGCGGACGGGUGAGUAAUGUCUGGGAAACUGCCUGAUGGAGGGGGAUAACUACUGGAAACGGUAGCUAAUACCGCAUAACGUCGCAAGACCAAAGAGGGGGACCUUCGGGCCUCUUGCCAUCGGAUGUGCCCAGAUGGGAUUAGCUUGUUGGUGGGGUAACGGCUCACCAAGGCGACGAUCCCUAGCUGGUCUGAGAGGAUGACCAGCCACACUGGAACUGAGACACGGUCCAGACUCCUACGGGAGGCAGCAGUGGGGAAUAUUGCACAAUGGGCGCAAGCCUGAUGCAGCCAUGCCGCGUGUAUGAAGAAGGCCUUCGGGUUGUAAAGUACUUUCAGCGGGGAGGAAGGGAGUAAAGUUAAUACCUUUGCUCAUUGACGUUACCCGCAGAAGAAGCACCGGCUAACUCCGUGCCAGCAGCCGCGGUAAUACGGAGGGUGCAAGCGUUAAUCGGAAUUACUGGGCGUAAAGCGCACGCAGGCGGUUUGUUAAGUCAGAUGUGAAAUCCCCGGGCUCAACCUGGGAACUGCAUCUGAUACUGGCAAGCUUGAGUCUCGUAGAGGGGGGUAGAAUUCCAGGUGUAGCGGUGAAAUGCGUAGAGAUCUGGAGGAAUACCGGUGGCGAAGGCGGCCCCCUGGACGAAGACUGACGCUCAGGUGCGAAAGCGUGGGGAGCAAACAGGAUUAGAUACCCUGGUAGUCCACGCCGUAAACGAUGUCGACUUGGAGGUUGUGCCCUUGAGGCGUGGCUUCCGGAGCUAACGCGUUAAGUCGACCGCCUGGGGAGUACGGCCGCAAGGUUAAAACUCAAAUGAAUUGACGGGGGCCCGCACAAGCGGUGGAGCAUGUGGUUUAAUUCGAUGCAACGCGAAGAACCUUACCUGGUCUUGACAUCCACGGAAGUUUUCAGAGAUGAGAAUGUGCCUUCGGGAACCGUGAGACAGGUGCUGCAUGGCUGUCGUCAGCUCGUGUUGUGAAAUGUUGGGUUAAGUCCCGCAACGAGCGCAACCCUUAUCCUUUGUUGCCAGCGGUCCGGCCGGGAACUCAAAGGAGACUGCCAGUGAUAAACUGGAGGAAGGUGGGGAUGACGUCAAGUCAUCAUGGCCCUUACGACCAGGGCUACACACGUGCUACAAUGGCGCAUACAAAGAGAAGCGACCUCGCGAGAGCAAGCGGACCUCAUAAAGUGCGUCGUAGUCCGGAUUGGAGUCUGCAACUCGACUCCAUGAAGUCGGAAUCGCUAGUAAUCGUGGAUCAGAAUGCCACGGUGAAUACGUUCCCGGGCCUUGUACACACCGCCCGUCACACCAUGGGAGUGGGUUGCAAAAGAAGUAGGUAGCUUAACCUUCGGGAGGGCGCUUACCACUUUGUGAUUCAUGACUGGGGUGAAGUCGUAACAAGGUAACCGUAGGGGAACCUGCGGUUGGAUCACCUCCUUACCUUAAAGAAGC
This 1554-nucleotide ribosomal RNA is filed under the name Escherichia coli. RNAcentral's name for it is "bacterial SSU rRNA". It matches the Rfam family "Bacterial small subunit ribosomal RNA". The record is from RNAcentral. Lineage: Bacteria; Pseudomonadati; Pseudomonadota; Gammaproteobacteria; Enterobacterales; Enterobacteriaceae.